AACGAGGCCGACCUGCGGCUGAGUUACCUGCGGAGGGAUCAUUACCAAUUCAGGCUGUGGGUGCGGCUCCUGCGUCCAACGCGGGCGGUUUCGCCCCACACGUCCGAACCCUUUCUUUUAUGAGCACCUCUUGUUCUCCCUCGGUGGGGUAACCUGCCGUCGGAACUUUUAAAACUCUUUUGCAUUUAGUAUUACCUGUUCUGAUAAAAACAAUCGUUACAACUUUCAACAAUGGAUCUC
Molecule: unclassified non-coding RNA, 240 nt
Filed under: soil metagenome
Description: partial contains 5.8S ribosomal RNA, internal transcribed spacer 2, and large subunit ribosomal RNA
Source: RNAcentral